AGAGUUUGAUCCUGGCUCAGGACGAACGCUGGCGGCACGCUUAACACAUGCAAGUCGAACGAGAGAAGAGGAGCUUGCUUUUCUGAUCUAGUGGCGGACGGGUGAGUAACACGUGAGCAAUCUGCCUUUCAGAGGGGGAUACCGAUUGGAAACGAUCGUUAAUACCGCAUAACAUAAUUGAACCGCAUGACUUGAUUAUCAAAGAUUUAUCGCUGAAAGAUGAGCUCGCGUCUGAUUAGCUAGUUGGUGAGGUAACGGCUUACCAAGGCGACGAUCAGUAGCCGGACUGAGAAGUUGAUCGGCCACAUUGGGACUGAGACACGGCCCAGACUCCUACGGGAGGCAGCAGUGGGGAAUAUUGCACAAUGGAGGAAACUCUGAUGCAGCGAUGCCGCGUGAGGGAAGAAGGUUUUAGGAUUGUAAACCUCUGUCUUCAGGGACGAAAAAAGACGGUACCUGAGGAGGAAGCUCCGGCUAACUACGUGCCAGCAGCCGCGGUAAUACGUAGGGAGCGAGCGUUGUCCGGAAUUACUGGGUGUAAAGGGAGCGUAGGCGGGAUCGCAAGUCAGAUGUGAAAACUAUGGGCUUAACCCAUAAACUGCAUUUGAAACUGUGGUUCUUGAGUGAAGUAGAGGUAAGCGGAAUUCCUAGUGUAGCGGUGAAAUGCGUAGAUAUUAGGAGGAACAUCAGUGGCGAAGGCGGCUUACUGGGCUUUAACUGACGCUGAGGCUCGAAAGCGUGGGGAGCAAACAGGAUUAGAUACCCUGGUAGUCCACGCCGUAAACGAUGAUUACUAGGUGUGGGGGGACUGACCCCUUCCGUGCCGCAGCAAACGCAAUAAGUAAUCCACCUGGGGAGUACGACCGCAAGGUUGAAACUCAAAGGAAUUGACGGGGGCCCGCACAAGCAGUGGAGUAUGUGGAUUAAUUCGAAGCAACGCGAAGAACCUUACCAGGUCUUGACAUCGUAUGCAUAGCUCAGAGAUGAGUGAAAUCUCUUCGGAGACAUAUAGACAGGUGGUGCAUGGUUGUCGUCAGCUCGUGUCGUGAGAUGUUGGGUUAAGUCCCGCAACGAGCGCAACCCUUACUGUUAGUUGCUACGCAAGAGCACUCUAGCAGGACUGCCGUUGACAAAACGGAGGAAGGUGGGGAUGACGUCAAAUCAUCAUGCCCCUUAUGACCUGGGCCUCACACGUACUACAAUGGCUGUCAACAGAGGGAAGCAAAGCCGCGAGGUGGAGCGAACCCCUAAAAGCAGUCUUAGUUCGGAUUGUAGGCUGCAACCCGCCUACAUGAAGUCGGAAUUGCUAGUAAUCGCAGAUCAGCAUGCUGCGGUGAAUACGUUCCCGGGCCUUGUACACACCGCCCGUCACGCCAUGGGAGUCGGUAACACCCGAAGCCUGUAGUCUAACCGCAAGGAGGACGCAGUCGAAGGUGGGAUUGAUGACUGGGGUGAAGUCGUAACAAGGUA
RNAcentral lists this ribosomal RNA (1470 nucleotides) under metagenome. Its description in RNAcentral is "bacterial SSU rRNA". It matches the Rfam family "Bacterial small subunit ribosomal RNA". The record is from RNAcentral.